RNAcentral lists this ribosomal RNA (468 nucleotides) under uncultured bacterium. Its description in RNAcentral is "partial 16S ribosomal RNA". It matches the Rfam family "Bacterial small subunit ribosomal RNA", at positions 28 to 507 of the family's 1533-position model. The record is from RNAcentral.
GACGAACGCUGGCGGCGUGCUUAACACAUGCAAGUCGAACGGAAAGGCCCUGCUCUUGCGGGGUGCUCGAGUGGCGAACGGGUGAGUAUCACGUGUGUAACCUGCCCUUAACUUUCGGAUAACAUCAGGAAACUGGGGCUAAAACCGGAUAGGAGCUCCUGCUGCAUGGUGGUGGUUGGAAAGUUUCGGCGGUUGGGGAUGGACUCGCGGCUUAUCCGCUUGUUGGUGGGGUAGUGGCUUUCCAAGGCUUUGACGGGUAGCCGGCCUGAGAGGUUGACCGGCGACAUUGGGACUGAGAUACGGCCCAGACGCCUACGGGAGGCAGCAGUGGGGAAUAUUGCACAAUGGGCGGAAGCCUGAUGCAGCAGCGCCGCGUGCGGGAUGACGGCCUUCGGGUUGUAAACCGCUUUCGCCUGUGACGAAGCGUGAGUGACGGUAAUUGGUAAAGAAGCACCGGCUAACUACGUG